RNAcentral lists this ribosomal RNA (431 nucleotides) under Pachyiulus varius. RNAcentral describes it as "partial 16S ribosomal RNA". It matches the Rfam family "Archaeal large subunit ribosomal RNA", at positions 1907 to 2592 of the family's 2987-position model. Lineage: Eukaryota; Metazoa; Arthropoda; Diplopoda; Julida; Julidae. The record is from RNAcentral.
AUGGCUCCUUGAAAGUUAAAUAAGGGGUUAGACCUGCACACUGAGGCAUUAAAGAGCUGCGGUAUUUUGACCGUACAAAGGUAGCAAAAUCACUAGUCUUUUAAUUGAAGACGAGGAUGAAAGGUUGUUCGAGGAAGUUCUAUUAAGGGGUUUGUAAUUUGAAUUUAUCAUUUUUGUGAAAAGACAAAAAUAAAAGUAAGGGACAAGAAGACCCUUUCAAGUUUAAUUUAUUAUUAAAGUUUUGUUAAUUUAUUAAAUAAAAUGAGGUUUAAUAAUAUGUUUUGCUGGGGCGGCAGGUAAGAGAACAAUAUUUUUAUAAAUGAAGAUAUUUAGCUAAAAUAGGAGCUUUAAGGAAGACUAUAAGAAUAAACUACUAAAGGGAUAACAGCGGAAUAUUACUUAAUAGUUCUUAUUGACAGUAAUGUUUGCGA